GGUCCUGGUCCAAAACAUCGACUGUGCUUUUUUUUUUACCACAGAUGCUGUCUGGCCUGAUGAGAUCAUCCAGCAUGUUGCAGAUGACUUCCAACAUCUGCAGAUUCUCUCUUGUCUGUGCUUCAGCAUCAGAAUCGUUCUCGUAAACCUCCUCUGGACCCCCUCCAGGUCCACAGGACUUCCAUUUAAGGCAGAGGAAGGUUUCGGAGAUGAAGAUAAUGACAUUAUCUUCAAAGAAAACAUCAAAAUCAGCCUGAAGAAAUCCGACAUUACAUCUAAAAACUGGGAAGACAGUGCACUCGAUAGCUACACCUGGAGGAAAUCUGUUCAAGAGGGAACUGCGCUACAUGAGGUCAACCACAGAGCAGCUGCGAGACAAAAAACUGAACAACCAAAAGAUCCAUCCGCUAGCCACAGUCAUCACUUCCACAUGGGCCCCAAAUCAGCCUCUUCAGCCACCCGAGGGUCAACCAACAAAAAAACCGCUUAAGAAGAGCAUUGUGUUCGACUCGAGGGGUCAAACACUACACUAUGUUCACUGUACGUUCUAUGUUCUUACCCUCGUACCUUCUACUCCCUUAUAGCUUUUAUUAGUUAUCCUCUGUUGCUUUUUAGGGGCUUCUCAAUCCUCUAACUAGAUCAGGAUCCGGUUUAAUAUCACCAGCAUAUGUUGUGAAAUUUGUUGUCUUUGUGGCAGCAGUACAAUGCAAAACAUAAUCAAAACUGUAAAUUAUGGUAAGAAGUUGUAUGAAAAGCUAAAUUA
Molecule: long non-coding RNA, 763 nt
Organism: Mobula hypostoma (lesser devil ray)
Lineage: Eukaryota; Metazoa; Chordata; Chondrichthyes; Myliobatiformes; Myliobatidae
Exons: 3
Source: RefSeq, a predicted model, not a curated record